CUCGCUCUGUCGCCCAGGCUGGAGUGCAAUGGCAUGAUCUCUGCUCACUGCAACCUCCGUCUCCCGGGUUCACGCAAUUCUCCUGCCUCAGCCUCCUGAGUAGCUGGGAUUACAGGCGCGUGCCAUCACAGCCUGCUAAUUUUUGAACUUUUAGUAGGGACGGGGUUUCACCAUGUUGUUCAGGCUGGUCCUGAACUCCUGACCUUGUGAUCCACCUGCCUCUGCCUCCCAAAGUGUUGGGAUUACAGGCGUGAGCCACCAUGCUCAGCCCGUAACUGAUUGCUUUUAAAGACAACAACCAAGAUACCUAUGUUUUUCCAUCGAAACUUCCUCAUUCGCCCAGGACCAUCGCUGUGCAGAUCCCCAUCAGCAAGGUACCUCUCUUGGUAUAAACGUAGCUGUCGCUUAUCAUCAUCCAACAUAGUUUUCCUGCAACAGGAGAAAUAAGGUGUUCAAAACAAGGACCAUUCUGGCUGGUUACAGGGCUUGUCUUAAGAUGUACCCUAUUACUCAGAAGGGCUUAUUGGGAUACUGACAUGUGUAUUUUCUUGAUUUGACUCUGCAGUUCCUCAUCAGAAGGAAGUACUUCAUCAAUUACGUCCUCUUCAUAUUCAUCAAUUUCUUCCCCAUCAUACUCAUCUUCGCUUCCCACAUCACUUCCUGACACCUCUGCCUCAUCCUCCAGAUCGCUUCAGGAGUUCUUCUUCAUCAUCAUCUUCAUGGUCUUCCAGUGCCAGAUCAUUACCAGAGUCACUGUGUUCAUCCUACAAAAUCAGCAUCAUAUCCAAAUUAAGCAGAAUAAAAUGCGUCCUCAAUGAAAAAAGGAUUUAUAAACAUCUGCCCAAAUACCUCAUUCUAGGAAAUUGUUUCUGAUAAGAUGCCAAACUUAGAAUUCUCAAGAACUGAGGGGAAAAAAACACUUGAGGGCAGCAAUACAUGGAGCUCAGUUAUGAUUACUUUGUUCCCUUCAUACUCACCUCAUCACUAUCAAACUCAUUAUCAUUUGAAACAAGCCGAAAGUCUCCAAAUUCCUCCUCCUCGUCUUCCUCUUCCCUAAAAUGUAAAUCAAUGAAUCAAUAAAUAAGUUGUUGAAAGCAAA
Molecule: long non-coding RNA, 1099 nt
Filed under: Homo sapiens (human)
Lineage: Eukaryota; Metazoa; Chordata; Mammalia; Primates; Hominidae
Description: HSALNT0004849
Source: RNAcentral